RNAcentral lists this ribosomal RNA (502 nucleotides) under uncultured bacterium. RNAcentral describes it as "bacterial SSU rRNA". It matches the Rfam family "Bacterial small subunit ribosomal RNA", at positions 28 to 521 of the family's 1533-position model. The record is from RNAcentral.
GACGAACGCUGGCGGCGUGGAUUAGGCAUGCAAGUCGAACGGUAUCAUCCUUUCGGGGGUGAGAGAGUGGCGAACUGGUGAGUAACACGUAGGUUAUCUACCCUCAAGACGGGGACAACCCAGGGAAACUUGGGCUAAUACCCGGAUGUGAGCAACUUUUAGUUGUUUGAAAGGUGGCGUAAGCUGUCGCUUGGGGAUGAGCCUGCGUCCUAUUAGUUAGUUGGUGAGGUAACGGCUCACCUAGGCAAUGAUAGGUAGGCGGCCUUAACGGGUGGUCGCCCACACUGGGAUUGAGAUACGGCCCAGACUCCUACGGGAGGCAGCAGUCGAGAAUAGUCUACAAUGGUCGGAAGACUGAUAGUGCGACGCCGCGUGAACGAUGAAUCCCUUCGGGGUGUAAAGUUCUUUUAUAUGUGAGCAGUGCUUCUUAUAUUAACAGUAUGGGGAGAGAGAUAUUAGCAAUAUGAAUAAGCAACGGCUAACUCCGUGCCAGCAGCCGGGU